RNAcentral lists this ribosomal RNA (235 nucleotides) under uncultured bacterium. RNAcentral's name for it is "partial 16S ribosomal RNA". It matches the Rfam family "Bacterial small subunit ribosomal RNA", at positions 99 to 334 of the family's 1533-position model. The record is from RNAcentral.
CGGACGGGUGAGUAACGCGUGGGUAACCUACCCUGUACAGGGGGAUAACAGUCAGAAAUGACUGCUAAUACCGCAUAAGACCACAGCACCGCAUGGUGCAGGGGUAAAAACUCCGGUGGUACAGGAUGGACCCGCGUCUGAUUAGCUGGUUGGUGAGGUAACGGCUCACCAAGGCGACGAUCAGUGGCCGGCUUGAGAGAGUGAACGGCCACAUUGGGACUGAGACACGGCCCAA